RNAcentral lists this non-coding RNA (24 nucleotides) under Arabidopsis thaliana (thale cress). Lineage: Eukaryota; Viridiplantae; Streptophyta; Magnoliopsida; Brassicales; Brassicaceae. The record is from RNAcentral.
AAGAUCCUACUCAACUUCCGAUGU